Molecule: ribosomal RNA, 230 nt
Filed under: uncultured bacterium
Lineage: Bacteria
Description: partial 16S ribosomal RNA
Rfam family: Bacterial small subunit ribosomal RNA
Source: RNAcentral
GGCGGACGGGUGAGUAACGCGUGAGAAUUUGCUUUUAGGAGGGGAAUAACAAUUAGAAAUGAUUGCUAAUGCCCCAUAUGCUUUAUUAAGUGAAAAGGAUUAUAUCCGCCUAAAAAGAAGCUCGCGUCUGAUUAGCUAGUUGGUAAGGUAAAAGCUUACCAAGGCGACAAUCAAUAGCUGAUUUGAGAGGAUGAUCAGCCACACUGGGACUGAGAUACGGCCCAGACUCC